ACACGGGAUUACCAAGACCCUUGGAUUAAAUUAACUUAAAUACAUCCUACCAUUCAUAUUGCAUCAAUAGUCUAUCACCCUGAUCAACGUCUCAGAUUGGAUGUUCUGCCAAACAGACGCGGUAGUCUGCCAAUCCUCGUAGCCCUCAGCGUCGCCGAUCCCCGCAACCCCGCCGACAAUUCCUAAAUUUCCGGAUUGACUCCACCGGAAAUCAUGCCAGAAAAACGGAUCCGCAGCAACUUGCACGGCCCCACCUUCCUUCCUCUCCUCCCGUGUGCUUCCUUCCCCAUCGCCGCGAGUCGACCCGGCCUCUGGUCGUCUCCCGCGCUACUGCAAGCCGCCGCCCACCUCCUCUGCCGGACGCCAUGGCCAUCGAGCAAAGCUCCGUCGGACCUUCCCGACCAGAUCGACGAUGACGACAAGCGGAUCUGCCCCCCACGAAGAGGUAGAAAGCACGGGGGAGGCGGCGGCGGCCCCAGUGGGCGCCGACGAAGCCCGCCAGCGCCGCCAGGAGGAUGAGCCCGCCUAGGAUGGACACGGGCCAGCGCGAACUCCAACCCCCGCCCAUCCCCAUGCGUACGCGAUCAGACCCCCGAGGCGAUGACGGGGACGACGCAGAUGUCCGCGUCACGCCCACCGUGAUGUUGGGGAUCACCCCCAUGUCUGGAUGCUCAAGCUGUGCUACUGCUGCUGACCCAGACUGUAUACAUACUUGUGCUAUGAAGCCACAUGAAUUCUUCCAAGAUGGUUAGCGAGACCACUGCCCCUUUAUCCUCUUCCUCCACCCCCUAUUCCUCUUUUAUGUCAUACCCCAAAGGAGAUCGAGAUCGAGAUUUGGGGAAAACGAGGCUAGGGUUCGUCCAGGAACGAGAAUAUGGUAUCAAGGAGGAAUAUACUGUAUUAGCUGUAAAGUAUUUGGGGUUCUUGAUCAUAGCAAAUGGCAUACACUUACAACCGAGGGCGCUGGCUUAUAUAGCUCAGCUAGCAACAGAACAGUAAACAGUAAUGCUACAGAAAGGUAAGUAACGCUUCAGGGGAUGGCGAGCCUUGUGAGCCAUCCGAUCUUCUCGCCUUCUUCCAUCUGUGACGUCCGUUAACUGAAUGAAGCAAUACUUGUAACUGAAGAUAUGCAGUGAGCUAAUAUUUUAUUCCUCUGUUAAUCCCACAAGCAUAUUGUGUUCCUCCAGAUCUAACCAAGUGAAAUCGUUGAUUUGGUGAUUGACUUCUCGGCUUCAUGGUGUGGGCCCUGCCAACGCAUCAAACCGGCCUUGAGAUGGCCCCUGCUUCCUCGACGCCAUCACCACGUCAACAAGCUCAGGGUACCUGCCACCAUAUCUAUCCCUGCUUCAUGUUGUUCAGUCUAGAUCAACUAAUCAACGUGUGUAACCUGGUUUCAGUUUGUGCAAUUGGGAAGGGAAAAAGGCUCUGAUUCUGUUUGAUCUUGGACAUGUAUCUAGCUUAUGCAUUCCAUUUAGUGAAUUCCAUCCAUGUUUUGCCAUUUAAUAGGAUAUGUCGAUAGUGCUCAGUUCCAGUAGAUUUGGAUGCAUCCAUUUGUUAAGACAGAUCUCAGAUGAAUCAAGAUGGUAGCAAUGCUUCUGAUGUUGAACAUGUAGAGCAUUAAGUAAAAUAUUAUUCAUCACAAAUUAUCUACCAUGUGUUGUUGGCAUCCUUUAACUGAUCUAGCGUGUGGGUUCUAUAUUUUGCUCUAAACAAAUUUCUUCUCAUCAAGAGUAAAUUGAUUUCAAGUAAUUUUAGAUUUUAGACUCUGCCAAAUGUGUGGGGCGUGCCUAAUUUGAUUAGGUGGUUGCCUGGUUAAACAGGAGGGAAAGCUAACCUUAGUUGCCGCUUGCUGUCACUGUCAGCAGGUCUUUACUUUGCCAACAUGAGAGUGGGAUAGGUGGCAUAGGCAUAUGUUGGUGGGGUUACCUUUGUUUAGCAUGCUUUCAACAGAAUGCAUAUGUCAUUGUCACCUUCUGAGAAUUAUUAGCAUGCUUUCAUAUGGAGGUAUUGUUUGUUUGGAUUAUGUCGAUCCAUGGGAGAUGUUUCUGAUUGCAUUUGCCGCCCUACUGAAAAUGGGACAUGUACUGCACUCAAAGCUUCAAGUUUCAACUCUACUUCUGGUUUGCAAUAUGAUACGUAUUAAUUUAUGCCUUAUUUGAACUUUCCAUUUCCUAUAUCAAUUUAUAGCAUUUCAUGUCUCUUAAUUUAAGCCGGAGCAAUAAUGCUUGUGGCGUUUUUACUUGUAAUACAGAUUGGAAACAUUGACCCUGACUGUAGAUUGGCCUUCAACUCUAUGAUGGGUUGUUUUUUUAGAGGACUAUGAUGGAUUGUUUAAGGUGGGUCCAUUGUCUGCUACUUUAUUUUCAUGAAUUUUGGUCAUCCGUUCUUGCAGCCAAGUGACACUUUGACACCGCCAACAGUUGUAGUCGUGUUUGAUCUGCACAAGCAAUGAUCUAUAUUUCUCAUGCCUUGGCAUGCGCAGUGUGAGUCCGUGAUCUAUAUGCAUCAUAACAAAAACGGAAAACCAGAUCAUAUGAAAAGGAAGACAAAUAUAAAUUUAUUUAGCCUAAAAUUAAAACAGUGCAUAUGAAAACCAGAUCCUAAUUUUGGUGUUACAUUAUUUAGUCUCCAAAUAGUCUAUUUGAUACGUAUAGAAUCAUUCAAGUUUUUAAAUAUUCCUUCGAGAGUAGUGAUUCUUUCCAAAUUAAUGGCACAAAACACUAAUAGUGAUCUUAUAUUAUUUUGUCGGAAGUGGAAAGCCUAGAGCAUUUUUUCUUACUGCCCACUACUUUUCCAGGCACUACUAACCUCUUGUACAUGUGUGCAUAUUGGGACAAUGAUGAUUUUUCUUGGGGAUAAAUUAUUGCCGAGGAGGUUGAGCAGAGAUAGUUAGGUGGAACAUACGGAGACUAAUAUGUCCACCAAAAUGUUGAGUAACAUCUUGAGGGUGGGGUUGAGCGUCAUGACCGAGGACAGCAUGGGCAAUUGAUUAGCUGCUUGUAGCCGACUACUUGAUGAGGUUUAUGACAUCACCAAUCACAUAAGCACUUACCAUCAGGUGUGCAUUGACCCUUGAGAAGGCUUGAACAACAUCAUAUUGGCUUGUGAUUGUCUCUCCGCGGUUGAGCGCACCAAUUCCUCCACUAUCGACCAAUUGCUGGUUGGUGUCGGUAUGGAGGAUAUCAAAGCCAUGUCAUGCUCUUUGGCAUAAGUGACUUGUUCUCACAUUAGUAUCUUAGCUCAUCGAUUUGAACUUUUUGUAUGUUCUCGAGUGCACCAGUGUCAAUUUUUGUAGAUGGAGACGUGCGUUGCACGUGCACAUUUACUAGUAAUUAUAGAUAAGGACUUUUGGCUUAAGCCUCCUUUA
This is a long non-coding RNA of Triticum aestivum (bread wheat), 3367 nucleotides long. RefSeq lists it as uncharacterized. NCBI's taxonomy places the organism in Eukaryota, Viridiplantae, Streptophyta, Magnoliopsida, Poales, Poaceae. The record is from RefSeq and is a predicted model, not a curated record. The transcript is spliced from 3 exons.